Long non-coding RNA from Panicum virgatum (switchgrass), 474 nucleotides. RefSeq lists it as uncharacterized. The transcript has 2 exons. The record is from RefSeq and is a predicted model, not a curated record. Lineage: Eukaryota; Viridiplantae; Streptophyta; Magnoliopsida; Poales; Poaceae.
GAUUUCAAAUCUCGCGGCCGCCCCAGCUCCAACACCACCGCGACCUCCUCCUCGUCGCCGGUCCGAUUCGUCACCGGUGGACCGCCCGUCCGCCUCCGUAUGCCGCCGCGAAGCUCCACCGCGCCGCUCCAUCCUCGACGGUUCUGCCACAGGGCGCCCCCUCGACCAGAGCGCUGAUCCGGGCGGUGAGGUUCGGGGACGCGGCGCUGCACCAGAAUCGCGAGAGGAUAGCGAGGUUCGGAUAGCGAUUAGGCCCCGUUUGGGACAGCGUCAGCGAUGCUUUUGAGCGGAAGAUGCAGAAAAAUCCCGCCGAACGGGUUGCGGCCAACGCGCAUUCGACGGUCGCGCUCGGCUGAAAAAGCGGGAAAAUGAACUGCUCGCCGCGACAAGAGAGAAGCAAGGGAGUACUUGAAUACUUUAUAUAAGCUAGCCACCCAUACACGCAUGUUCCAAUAAUACAAACCAUAUAUAUAA